Molecule: ribosomal RNA, 522 nt
Filed under: uncultured bacterium
Lineage: Bacteria
Description: bacterial SSU rRNA
Rfam family: Bacterial small subunit ribosomal RNA
Source: RNAcentral
CCAGAGAAUUUAGCAGAGAUGCUUUAGUGCCUUCGGGAACUCUGAGACAGGUGCUGCAUGGCUGUCGUCAGCUCGUGUUGUGAAAUGUUGGGUUAAGUCCCGCAACGAGCGCAACCCUUAUCCUUUGUUGCCAGCACGUAAUGGUGGGAACUCAGAGGAGACUGCCGGUGAUAAACCGGAGGAAGGUGGGGAUGACGUCAAGUCAUCAUGGCCCUUACGAGUAGGGCUACACACGUGCUACGAUGGCGCAUACAAAGAGAAGCGACCUCGCGAGAGCAAGCGGACCUCAUAAAGUGCGUCGUAGUCCGGAUUGGAGUCUGCAACUCGACUCCAUGAAGUCGGAAUCGCUAGUAAUCGUAAAUCAGAAUGUUACGGUGAAUACGUUCCCGGGCCUUGUACACACCGCCCGUCACACCAUGGGAGUGGGUUGCAAAAGAAGUAGAUAGCUUAACCUUCGGGAGGGCGUUUACCACUUUGUGAUUCAUGACUGGGGUGAAGUCGUAACAAGGUAAGCGUAGUGCU